Molecule: long non-coding RNA, 227 nt
Filed under: Mytilus galloprovincialis (Mediterranean mussel)
Lineage: Eukaryota; Metazoa; Mollusca; Bivalvia; Mytilida; Mytilidae
Source: RNAcentral
CUAAGGAAAACUAGCGUGAAGUUCCCCGGGAUAAUGGUUAGCAACGUCCGGGGAUAUGGGUUAGCAACACCCAGGGGCUAUGGGUUUUGUAACGACGUGCGUUAACCAAUCAAAAUCCUAGAUAUAUACUAAGCCGGGGAUAAGAUUAUUUCUUUGCGUAUUUCCGAAGAUUUUACCAAGUUGUAAAUGAAUAAAAUGACUAAAUUCAAACAGAUGUUUGGAAAAAA